This 485-nucleotide ribosomal RNA is filed under the name uncultured bacterium. RNAcentral's name for it is "partial 16S ribosomal RNA". It matches the Rfam family "Bacterial small subunit ribosomal RNA", at positions 29 to 506 of the family's 1533-position model. The record is from RNAcentral.
AUUGAACGCUGGCGGCAUGCCUUACACAUGCAAGUCGAACGGCAGCGCGGACUUCGGUCUGGCGGCGAGUGGCGAACGGGUGAGUAAUACAUCGGAACGUACCCUGUUGUGGGGGAUAACUAGUCGAAAGAUUAGCUAAUACCGCAUACGACCUGAGGGUGAAAGUGGGGGACCGGAAACGGCCUCAUGCAGCAGGAGCGGCCGAUGGCUGAUUAGCUAGUUGGUGGGGUAAAGGCCCACCAAGGCGACGAUCAGUAGCUGGUCUGAGAGGACGAUCAGCCACACUGGGACUGAGACACGGCCCAGACUCCUACGGGAGGCAGCAGUGGGGAAUUUUGGACAAUGGGGGCAACCCUGAUCCAGCAAUGCCGCGUGUGUGAAGAAGGCCUUCGGGUUGUAAAGCACUUUUGUCCGGAAAGAAAUCGCGCUGGUUAAUACCUGGCGUGGAGGACGGUACCGGAAGAAUAAGCACCGGCUAACUACGU